Molecule: non-coding RNA, 1002 nt
Organism: Lactuca sativa (garden lettuce)
Lineage: Eukaryota; Viridiplantae; Streptophyta; Magnoliopsida; Asterales; Asteraceae
Source: RefSeq, a predicted model, not a curated record
AGAGUCUUUCUCUCCUUAUCCCCCGAGCAUUUCGGUCCCUCGUGAUUCGACUUCUCUUUCUGUAGUUUUAGUAUAGUAAGGUGAGCGCUGAAGCGCUGCACGAAUCUUUCUUAGAAAGAUUCAGCGACGAAGUUCUGCCCCUACAGAGCCCGACUCCUAGCUAAAAUCCCCUUGUAAGUUUCGUCGAAGGAAAUUAUUUUAAAGUAAACGAAGCGCUGUCCGAGUACCGAGUCACCACCUUCUCAAGUGUUGAUAUGAAGUGACACUACACUGAGAGAUUUAAAGAGAUGUAGAUCACUAGUGUAAAUAAUUGUCGUUCGUAAGAAGAGAUCGGCGUGACUGUACACACGCAUCAAAGAUGUUCAUUUCCGUAGUUUUGUAAACUUAACCCUGAUAUUGGAUGACUUCAAUAAAAUGAAUGUUACAUAAUGGUUUUUGAAGCAAAUGUUUAACUCUUUAUUCUAUUUUAAAAAUGAAAAAUCUCUUUUUAACUUUUGGGACAUUACAAAUCUUCAUAAAUGGUCACUGCAGUUUCAAUUUUAUUGUGGUUCGUACAUUCUUUAUAUUGCACAAUUAAAAAAACAAAAUAUAAAUACUACCCCUACCCCUACCGCCACCCCCACUCCUAUCUUACAAUGCUCAUCUUCAAGAGAGGGCCGCCGUCGGUCAACGUUGCCGUUGUCGAACUUCCGCUGUUAAUAGAGCACCUCGGGAAUUACAACCACUACUAACGUCAUCUUCACCAACCUUCUUCACCUUCUUUGGCAUUAGUUUCAACCCACAACACAAACAACCAAAUAUCAUCCUUAUUCUUCCUUUCAACACCUUCAAAUGACCACUAACGGCCACCCUUCCCACCCCUAUCAGCCACAUGUAAUACCCCCAUCCAUCAGCAAGGGUACACGACAGUCCUCCAGUGCACCAAGCGCUAACGAUGUUUUUUUGAAGAAGAAAGAAGUGAGAUGUGUGUGUAUGGAGAUGAAUGUGACUGCCUUAUCGGUU